AAACCAGCACCUCAAGUGGUCAGGAUGAUUAUUGGGCCUAAAGCAUCCGUAGCCGGCUCUGUAAGUUUUCGGUUAAAUCUGUACGCUUAACGUACAGGCUGCUGGGAAUACUGCAGAGCUAGGGAGUGGGAGAGGUAGACGGUACUCGGGAGGAAGUGGUAAAAUGCUUUAAUCUCUCGAUGACCACCUGUGGCGAAGGCGGUCUACCAGAACACGUCCGACGGUGAGGGAUGAAAGCUGGGGGAGCAAACCGGAUUAGAAACCCGGGUAGUCC
This 274-nucleotide ribosomal RNA is filed under the name uncultured bacterium. RNAcentral describes it as "partial 16S ribosomal RNA". It matches the Rfam family "Archaeal small subunit ribosomal RNA", at positions 473 to 747 of the family's 1478-position model. The record is from RNAcentral.